RNAcentral lists this ribosomal RNA (253 nucleotides) under uncultured bacterium. Its description in RNAcentral is "partial 16S ribosomal RNA". It matches the Rfam family "Bacterial small subunit ribosomal RNA", at positions 524 to 776 of the family's 1533-position model. The record is from RNAcentral.
UACGUAGGUGGCAAGCGUUAUCCGGAAUUACUGGCCGUAAAGCGCACGCAGGUGGUUGGUUAAGACUGACGUGAAAGCUCCUGGCUUAACUGGGAGAGGUCGUUGGUGACUGGCCGACUGGAGGGAAGGUGAGGGAUGCAGAAUUCCCGGUGUAGGGGUGGAAUGCGUAGAUAUCGGGGGGAAUACAAGAGGCGAAAGCGGCAUCCUGGCCUUGGCCUGACACUCAGGUGCGAAAGCGUGGGCAGCAAACGGG